Molecule: ribosomal RNA, 529 nt
Filed under: Ombrophila violacea
Lineage: Eukaryota; Fungi; Ascomycota; Leotiomycetes; Helotiales; Gelatinodiscaceae
Description: eukaryotic LSU rRNA
Rfam family: Eukaryotic large subunit ribosomal RNA
Source: RNAcentral
AUUGCCUUAGUAACGGCGAGUGAAGCGGCAAAAGCUCAGAUUUGAAAUCUGGCGUCAUUUUGGCGUCCGAGUUGUAAUCUGUAGAGGAGUAUUCGAGUGUGGAUUUGGCUUAACUUCCUUGGAACAGGACGUCAUAGAGGGUGAGAACCCCGUUAACGGCCUACGUCUUAUGCUCAUGUGAAUCUCCUUCAACGAGUCGAGUUGUUUGGGAAUGCAGCUCUAAAUGGGUGGUAAAUUCCAUCUAAAGCUAAAUACUGGCAAGAGACCGAUAGCGCACAAGUAGAGUGAUCGAAAGAUGAAAAGAACUCUGAACAGAGAGUUAAAUAGUACGUGAAAUUGUUGAAAGGGAAGCACUUGCUACCAGACACGCCUGUAGUUGAUCAACCUCCAUUCUUGGUGGUGCACUCGGCUAUAUGGUGGGUCAGCAUCAGUUACAACGGUGGGAUAAAGACUUUGGGAAUGUAGCUUCCUUCGGGAAGUGUUAUAGCCCUUGGUGUAAUACCAUCUGAUGUGACUGAGGCCCGCGCUU